UUUCUUGCAAAUACCCCUUCCAAUAUCCAUCCUUUCAUAAAGAAAGUUUGUUCGCUUGGAGUUAUUUAUCUUCUUUAUCUGACUUCUCCUUUUGACUACAAUAGUCAUGGUCCCUAAACUCCCACUAUCUCUCUUGAAACCUUUUUCAAUUGUGUUAUACACAUCAAACAAUUUUGGAGAGCAUGUGGUUAUUGUUCACUACAUAGUUUACAAUAAACUUAGUGAACCAUUAGGAUAGGGACAC
This 244-nucleotide long non-coding RNA is filed under the name Malus domestica (apple). RNAcentral describes it as "long non-coding RNA (MDOM_LNC018657)". The record is from RNAcentral. Lineage: Eukaryota; Viridiplantae; Streptophyta; Magnoliopsida; Rosales; Rosaceae.